This 1174-nucleotide non-coding RNA is filed under the name Drosophila willistoni. RNAcentral describes it as "Eukaryotic large subunit ribosomal RNA". It matches the Rfam family "Eukaryotic large subunit ribosomal RNA", at positions 1891 to 2388 of the family's 3401-position model. The record is from Rfam by way of RNAcentral. Lineage: Eukaryota; Metazoa; Arthropoda; Insecta; Diptera; Drosophilidae.
UAGAAUAAUGUAGGUAAGGGAAGUCGGCAAAUUAGAUCCGUAACUACGGGAUAAGGAUUGGCUCUGAAGAUUGAGAUAGUCGGGCUUGAUUGGGAAACAAUAACAUGGUUUAUGUGCUCGUUCUGGGUAAAUAGAGUUUCGAUCAUUUAUGAUAGUUAUUUGUUCCCCGAUAGUUAGUUACGUUGCCAAUUGUGGAACUUUCUUGCUAAAAUUUUUAAGAAUACUAAUUUUUAAUUAGUUCUUUUAAAUAAUGACGAUUAUCAAUUAACAAUCAAUUAAGGACUGUCACGGACUUGGGAAAUCCAACUGUCUAAUUAAAACAAAGCAUUGUGAUGGCCCUAGCGGGUGAUGACACAAUGUGAUUUCUGCCCAGUGCUCUGAAUGUCAAAGUGAAGAAAUUCAAGUAAGCGCGGGUCAACGGCGGGAGUAACUAUGGCUCUCUUUCACAUCUUACAAAAAUGCUAUCGUACGCACGGGAGCGGGGACUUGAACGGAAAGGCUGCGUUGUCCAUAUCGAACCAAGUCUGCAAUGCGACUCGGGCUUAAAUAAACCGGAGGACCUGGUGGGAAUCCGACAGAAUCACAUUUAUGUGAUAGACGUUUAGAUUGUGACAGGCGGACAUUCCUUAGACCAAGCGCACCAGCGCAAGGUCGAAAGGUACGACAGAGCUGACAUAAGAUCACAAAUGCGGCGAUUUUUCGGAGUGACAGGUGAAAUCGAGAGGAAUCUGGAGCGGUCAGUCGGUAAAACGAUUGAUUGCAAUAGAUCUCCUCAUCGCUGAAGAUACCAAACUCAUCAGCGUCAGAGCAGUAAAUGGCGGAGUGACGGCUUUCAAAUAUUUCAUGUAUUGUGCUGGGUAUACUCGAAGCUAGAUGUACUAACCUCUAGUUUCUCUUAUACUUUUGCCGUCUACCUUGGCAUUCUAUCUAAAAAGGUACAAACAUCGCAUUGUCAAAAAGAGGUCGUUUUAGUGCGUAGGCGCUGUGGGACUUCAUUAUCCCGAUGAUGCAGCGAAUCGUGCAUACGAGAUUGUCCAGUAGUUGGUUGCUCGUAUCUUUAGAAGAUAGCCAAAUGACUCGUCAUCUAAUUAGUGACGCGCAUGAAUGGAUUAACGAGAUUCCUACUGUCCCUAUCUACUAUCUGGCGAAACCACAGCCAAGGGAACGGGCUUGG